CACAACCGUACAAUAAGACCGGUUUCACUAACUUGUCAAAUAAAUCUAAUAGACAACUAAUAGAUAACCCAUGUUUUCUCACCUUUUUGAUUAGCUCAUACAUUGCCUUUGUAGCUUUUUCUGCUAAGUGUUUUCUACAGUGUUUAAAUGUCCCAUUUCGUGAAAAAUAAAUCCCAAGAUAGUUGAAUUCUUGAACGAUAUCUUUAACAGAGUUAUCAUAUGUAAAACUGAGAUUUUUGG
Molecule: long non-coding RNA, 240 nt
Filed under: Mytilus galloprovincialis (Mediterranean mussel)
Lineage: Eukaryota; Metazoa; Mollusca; Bivalvia; Mytilida; Mytilidae
Source: RNAcentral